CAGCAUCCGGUGGCGGUCGAGAAUGGGCCCAGGCGACUAUUCACCCACAACAGAGGUUUCUGCUAAGUCGAAAGACGAUGAAUAGGAGCUGACGCCUGACCGGGGCUGAAAGGUUAAGGGGAUCGGGUAGAGCAAUCGAAGCAGUGAACUUAAGCCCCAGCAAACGGCGGCCUUAACUAUAACGGUCCUAAGGUAGCUAAAUUCCUUGUCGGGUAAGUUCCGACCCGCACGAAAGUCGUAACGAUUUGGGCACUGUCUCAACAACAUACUCUGUGAUAUUCUAAUUCCUGUGAAGAUGCCUGAUUCCUGCGACAGUACGUAUAGACACCAUUGAUCUUUACUGUAGCUUGAUCUUGCGUCUUGGUACUACAUGUACAGGCUAGUUGGGAUCCUUUGCACCCAGUACGCCAGU
RNAcentral lists this ribosomal RNA (412 nucleotides) under Clostridioides difficile. RNAcentral describes it as "bacterial LSU rRNA". It matches the Rfam family "Bacterial large subunit ribosomal RNA", at positions 1764 to 2175 of the family's 2925-position model. Lineage: Bacteria; Bacillati; Bacillota; Clostridia; Peptostreptococcales; Peptostreptococcaceae. The record is from RNAcentral.